UAUUAAGGAAAGGAAAGGAAAUCAACCGAGACUCCGAAAGUAAUGGUGAGUGAAAUCGGAUUAGCCAAAAAUAUAUUCUUUAAAUUGAAAAACUUAAGUUCGGUGCCUUGCUAGCUUACUAGCUACGCAAGCAAUAUUUAAAAAUAGGGCUUGUUUUUUUGCUAUGCAAGCAAGGUAAGGAUGUAUUAGUUAGCAUAAAAAUUUUUUUUAAUUAGUUUUAAAUAAAAAUAAUAAAUUAAAAUUACAUGUACCAAAGAAGGUUACAAACAAAAGUCCUGUAAAUUCUAAAGAAUAUAAAAAUAAAGUACGAUGAGAGAUAACUUGUCGGAAAAUAGGGGAACCAUCCUCUAAGGCUAAGUAUAAUAAAUUUAGCGAUAGUGAAAAAGUACUGUAAAGGAAAAGUUUGAAAAGCGAGUGGAAUACAAAAAGUCAAUAUUAAACUAAUACUAGUAUAAUAAUGAAUCGGUGAAAUAGAUCUUGAAUUAGUAACUCUAUAAGCAGUCGAAAUUCAACUUGAAAACAUACAAGGUAAAUGAAUGACGGCGUACCUUUUGCAUAAUGGGUCAGCUAGUUAAUAGGAGUAGCAAGGUUAAAAGCCCUAGCGAAAGCGACUGGACUAUACAAAAUAAAAAUUAUAAUUGCUUCUUCGCAGAAAAAUUAAAUUUUUUAUUUAAAUAGUGAUGGAUAAGUUACUUCUAUUAGACCCGAAGCCAGGUGAUCUUACCAAGACCAGAUUAUAAUGGAUCGAACGGUUGAAUGUUGCAUAAUUCUCCGAUGAGUUUUGGUAAGCGGUGAAAUGCCAAUCUGACCUGGUGAUAGCUGGUUUUCUACCGAAACAUAUUUAAGUAUGACGUCUACACAAAAUUUAUGGAGGUACAGCAAGGCAAUUCCCAACAAGUAUAAUAUAAUUAAAAAAAUAUUAUAUACGUUCAGGUUGCGGGGAUCUCGAAAAUCUUACCUUUGGAAGCGAAUCUCGGAAUUACAUAAAUUGAUGGUAGACAUUCAGACUACUCAUGCUAAGUUGGGUAGUCAAGACGGAAACAGCCGAGAACAUAGAUCAAGGUCCCAAAUGAUUGUUAAGUGAAAUUAAGGACGUAGCAAAAUCGAAUACAGCUGUGAAGUGAGCCUGGCAGUCGCUACUUUUCAAGAACGUAUGUAACAACGCAUCAGCAAAAAAGAUCGUAGCGCCGAAAAUUUAACGGGUCUAAACAAUCAACCGAUAUCAUGUUGGUUAAGAAUAAAAAUUUAAUCUUAAAAUAAAAAUUGUUCUUAAUCUAGGUAGUAGAACAAUCAGUCAAACCUCUGAUAAAAUAGUGUUUCAUUAUUUUUAGGUUACUGAAGAGAGAAUGCUGACAUGAGUAACGUAAAAAGAAGUUAUAAUACUUCUCGCCGAAUACGAAAGGGUUGCAAAUUGGAAAGGUUAAUCCGUUUUGUGUGAAUGCGGCCUCUAAGGACCAAAACCAAAGUUUUGGCUGAUGAGUACAAAAUAGAAAGUCCUAAUGGACCUGGAAAAUAAUAUUUUGUUAAAAAUUUUUUAUUUUUAACUAUAAACUACCGUACCCUAAACCGACACAGGUUCGUAGGUAGAGAAUACUAAGGCGUAGAGCUAAAAGUUGUUAAGGAACUCGGCAAGUUCACCUCAUAAGUUAGACGAUAAGAGGUACCAUCUAUUAUUUUCUUUUCAUAAAAUUAAAGAUAGGUGGUGGCACAGAAUCGGAGGCCCCGACUGUUUACUAAAAACACAACACAGUGCAAUCAUUAAUGUGAUAGUAUACUGUGUGAAAUUUGCCCAAUGCCAUUAAUAUAAAAGCGGUCAUAUGGAAAUGUGACUAAUUGAAAAUCUGGUUAAUAGCGGUCUUAACCAUGAGGAUCCUAAGGUAGCAAAAUAAAUUGGCCAUUAAAUGUGGUCCGGUAUCAAUAAUGUAACGAUGGCCUCACUGUCUCUACAACUUGCUCAGUGAAAUUGAAUUACGCGUGCAGAUGCGCGUUACCUCCAGUGGGACGGGAAGACCCUAUGCAGCUUUACUGUAGUUAGUUAUCACAUGAAUCUAGAACAACUUUAAUUAAUAGUGAAUAGGUAAGUCGAUAGACAUAUAGUGGAAACCUUAUAAUUAAGGUUGGGUUCAUGUUUACCAUAGUUGGGAGAGUUGACUAAUUGGCAGUUUGACUGGGGCGGUCGUCUUUAAUAGAGUAGCAAAGUACAUCCAAAUAUUUCUUUUCAAUUUUAUUUUUUUAAAUAAAAUUAAAUUAAAUUAUCUUUUGGGCUGCCUAAAAUUUUUAUAAUUUUAGGCACCAAAAGAUAUUAUAACAAAUAACAGAUUGCUUUUUAGAAAGGAAUCGUAACCAAAUUAACUAAAACAAAACUUUGGCUUUACUUAUCUCUAUCUAGCAAAUAUUAUUUUAUUUUUAGCGCUAGGAAGAAACUUUAAAAAAAUUGUUUUUUUUAUAAGUUUUUAGGUAAAGACUUAGUCAUUUAUGAUUAUAUUUUUAUAUUAAAAUUUUUUAAAUAAGGUGUGGCUAGAAAUUGAAUGGAGAUCAAUCAAACCAGUGAAGGGUUGUGUAGAGCUCAAUGGCGGAAAGCACACUUAACUGAAAGACUCAAAAGUCGCACAGAUAUGUAAGUAGGGCAUAGUGACCCCUCGCUAUAGUAUGGAAUAGACGGGGAUCAAUUGAUAAAAGUUACGCUAGGGAUAACAGCCUAAUAGCCGACGAGAGUACACAUUGUCUCGGCUGUUUGGGACCUCGAUGUCGACUCAUCCUAUCCUCCGGGGGAAGAAGCUUGGAAGGGUUCGGCUGUUCNNNNNNNNNNNNNNNNNNNNNNNNNNNNNNNNNNNNNNN
RNAcentral lists this ribosomal RNA (2838 nucleotides) under Amanita brunnescens Koide BX004. RNAcentral's name for it is "bacterial LSU rRNA". It matches the Rfam family "Bacterial large subunit ribosomal RNA", at positions 204 to 2583 of the family's 2925-position model. Lineage: Eukaryota; Fungi; Basidiomycota; Agaricomycetes; Agaricales; Amanitaceae. The record is from RNAcentral.